This 250-nucleotide ribosomal RNA is filed under the name uncultured bacterium. RNAcentral describes it as "partial 16S ribosomal RNA". It matches the Rfam family "Bacterial small subunit ribosomal RNA", at positions 524 to 773 of the family's 1533-position model. The record is from RNAcentral.
GACGGAGGGGGCAAGCGUUGUCCGGACUCACUGGGCGUAAAGGGUCCGUAGGCGGUUCUGUGCGUCGGUGCUGAAAGCGCCCGGCUUAACCGGGCGAGGCGUGCCGAUACGACAGAACUCGAGGCAGGCAGAAGAUGGCGGAAUUCCGGGUGUAGUGGUGAAAUGCGUAGAGAUCCGGAGGAACGCCGGUGGCGCAAGCGGCCAUCUGGGCCUGACCUGACGCUGAGGGACGAAAGCGUGGGGAGCGAAC